ACGAACCGUGCGAACGUUGUUCGGAAUCACUGGGCUUAAAGGGCGCGUAGGCGGGUGUGCAAGUCUGCGGUGAAAGCCUCCAGCUUAACUGGAGAAGUGCCGUGGAUACUGCUCAUCUUGAGGAGGGUAGGGGCAUCUGGAACGGUCGGUGGAGCGGUGAAAUGCGUUGAUAUCGACCGGAACUCCGGUGGCGAAGGCGAGGUGCUGGACCCUUUCUGACGCUGAGGCGCGAAAGCCAGGGGAGCAAACGGGA
This 253-nucleotide ribosomal RNA is filed under the name uncultured prokaryote. RNAcentral's name for it is "partial 16S ribosomal RNA". It matches the Rfam family "Bacterial small subunit ribosomal RNA", at positions 525 to 777 of the family's 1533-position model. The record is from RNAcentral.